GUACUCCCAUUGGCAGCACAUACACUAAUAGAACAAUCCAGAGAUUACAUGGGCCUUGAGCAAGAAUGACACACAAAUCCAUGAAGUGUUCCAUAUAUUU
Mesocricetus auratus (golden hamster) is the source of this 100-nucleotide small nuclear RNA. NCBI's taxonomy places the organism in Eukaryota, Metazoa, Chordata, Mammalia, Rodentia, Cricetidae. The record is from Ensembl.